CUGGACGACCCUUCGGGGAGCUUGUACAGGUGCUGCAUGGCUGUCGUCAGCUCGUGUCGUGAGAUGUUCGGUUAAGUCCGCUAACGAGCGCAACCCUCGCUGUGUGUUACAAGUGUCACACGGAACUGCCGGUCAUAAACCGGAGGAGUGGGAUGACGUCAAGUCAGCAUGGCCUUUAUAUCCCUGGGCUACACACACGCUACAAUGGGAAGGGACAAUAGGUUGCGAAGCCGCGAGGCGGAGCCAAUCCAGCAAAACUUCCCUCAGUUCAGAUUGCAGGCUGCAACCCGCCUGCAUGAAGUUGGAGUUGCUAGUAAACGCAGGUCAGCCAUACUGCGUUGAAUACGUUCCCGGGGCUU
RNAcentral lists this ribosomal RNA (359 nucleotides) under uncultured Anaerolineaceae bacterium. Its description in RNAcentral is "bacterial SSU rRNA". It matches the Rfam family "Bacterial small subunit ribosomal RNA", at positions 1008 to 1382 of the family's 1533-position model. The record is from RNAcentral. Lineage: Bacteria; Bacillati; Chloroflexota; Anaerolineae; Anaerolineales; Anaerolineaceae.